This 6063-nucleotide long non-coding RNA is filed under the name Taeniopygia guttata (zebra finch). RNAcentral describes it as "lncRNA (ENSTGUG00000019867.1)". Lineage: Eukaryota; Metazoa; Chordata; Aves; Passeriformes; Estrildidae. The record is from RNAcentral.
GCUGGCCUUUGCUUCAAAUGCAAUUCUGCACCUGCCUCUAAGUAAAGCUCUAAGUAAAGGUAGGUAGGAACAGGGAGAAACAUUACCUUCUGCACACCUGUGGGCUUUUUGAAAUAAAAUCUGCCAUUAGAUCCACAAGCUCAUCAGAAGUCCUUGCCCCAGCCCUAAAAUUGUUGGGCUGCCUCCAUAAUAAAAAAUACAUGGCAAGGAAAAGCAAAAAAAAAAAAAAAAUAAAAGAAAAAUGACAUUAUUCUCAAAUUAUCCUCAAAUUUCAAAUGAUGAAUGAAGUCCUUCAAGUACAUGACUUACCCAAAGUUAUAUAGAAAAGUCUGUGCCAGAGCCAUGCAACACUUCAGGUGAAGAAUGCCAAGGCCAGACUGGGUCUUCACACUGACUUAUCCACAGUCUAAAGGCACUGAGGAUCCAAUGAGCUGUGGGAAGCUCCUGGGGAUGAACAUAUGGAAGAAUGAAACCAGGUGGAAACAGUAAAUGGAAAGAUGUUCUCACAAUUAGGGUUGUCUGAAAUAAGCCCAGAGCUGGGGAAGGAGACCAAGACAGAAAAUAAAGCUGAGCCUAAGAAAAAUGGAACAAAAGAGGCUUAGAAAUCAAGAACGUGCUCUGCUAUAAGAGGAAAUUGAAGCAGGAUAUAAGGAUAAAAUGGUUAGAGGAAUUGGUGAGGAAACACUGUAAUUUUGGCAGCUGCAACUUUACUGAAAAGGAAAGGUAGAAAACAGAAGGUGUAAGAUAGACAAGUCUAUUCCCCAGGGAUGAAUGAAGAGGGUGCAAUGGUAUCUUGAGAGAUAUGUGUACAUUCUGUGGGGAAAGACUGAGUCAGAUUUUUUAAGUGCCUGGCUGUGAGGGGAGAAAAUAUCUCCUUGAACCAAGUCUUUGGCAAAAUGGGCAACCAGGAGUGGUCUGUUUAUAAGCAAGUCAUUACAGUCCAUACUACUCUGCUUUUGGGGAGCCUGCAUUACCUGUGGGGUGCUGCAACAACCUCAUAUCCUUUUUGCUUGGGGUCACCUGCUUCCUUCAAGAGUGCGUGCUGGGAGCUGCAGCAGACAGCCACGGCCAGAGAGCCGGAGAAGCGAGCGGGGAGCUUCAGGCAGGUGGGAGUGCAGAAUAAACCCACAGCAGCUCAUGUCUCUCACAGGCAUGGUUUUCCUUCCCAGCCAUCAAUAACAAGCAGUUUUAAUCCCCAAACUUGACAGCUUUUCUACAAUUUCCUUAGGAGUGACUGUGGCUGCUGAGAACUGACACAUCCAUGUGCAGACCACUCUUCCCAGAUUUUAAAUGGCUGUGAAAGGUACAUGACUCUGAGUAUGGCUUUCCAUGCAAGCAAAACCAGCAUAUUUUUCCAAGCAGGAAAAUGGGCAUAGAGAAUGAGUUUCUUUCUCAUUGUACAGAUUUUCAGUCUUACAUAGUGCAGCUUGAAACCGUUACUGUUCCAGUGAGGAAAAUAUGCAGUCAGUUGAACAUUAACUGUUUUGGACACCAUUACUACAAAAAUAAAUAAUCAACCAACUUCAUCUCUGAAUAGAAAACUCUGCAGUGAGAAGACUGAGUGAAUAACAGGCAUGAUUGCUGAGGAAGAGAUGGAAAUAACAGUUUACAGUUCACAGGAUCUUAAUGGAUAAUCAAUGUGGUAAAUUAGGAUGUGGCUGGAAUUACAGAUACAGUAAUUAAAAUUAGCCGUGAAUAAUAGAAGACAGCUCCUCUAGAAUAGAAUAGAAAGUGCUACUAGACAGAAACAGAAUAGUACUGUGAAAAUGCACAGAAAAUUUAAUUUUUAAGAGAAGUUCAAAUUGGCAAGACAUGUGCUUGGUAUCUCCACUGACACUUCACAAGCUUAUAAUAGGUAGCUGUAAUCUAUUGUUGGAGAGGAAUUUAAUUUAAUUGCAUCUCCUCCUUAUGAAAAGUACAUUCUGAAUCACAUUUGAAGUCAGUGCUAAGGUGUCUCUAAAUUACCAUUCAGAGUCUAUUCACUUCAGCUGGCCACAGUUUGACUGUAUUCUCUUCUUUGGUCUAUUGCUCUCUUUUCAAUUGCAGAAACUAUGCUAGGAACAGAAUGGUCAUAAGCUCUGUUGUUCCAGCACAGAAGCUGUUCCCAACCAACGCUGGAGCUGCAUUUUACCUAAUGAGAAAAUUACAAACCCAGAGAAAGGAGAGGGGUUAUCUCUUCUUUCUGUUUCCCUGCAAAACUCCUGCUGCUAGUUGCUUCUAAAAAUGCAAUACAGAAAGUAAGACAUCAGUUUGUUCUGCCAGAAUGAUUCUCAUAUUUUCAAAAUAUUCAAGAAUAAUGUGAUUAUGCUGAGUGGCUGUAAACUGUAAAACUGGCCAAGAAGCCCAUGUGUCAUUAGAUUUCUACCAAAUAUAGAUGUUCAGCUUCAUCAGACUCUAUGAACUGUGUGAUUUCAAGGUGUGUGGACAGUAUGACUGAAACAGUUUUUUGCCAUAUCUGAAGUAGUUUCUCUAUGGUACCAGUGCUGAUCAUGCAAGCUUUAAAGGGUAACAUUUUUCUGCUAGAAUUCCAAGCAUAUAGUUUGAUAUUUUGAUUUUGUGAUUUCCAGCUUUUUGUGGCUUUUAAUGGCUUUUUAGCAAAUGGGAAUAUCAACAGAAGAUUUUUCCUAGAUAUAAGUAUUUGCUUUAGGAGAAGAUCAUACAAAAAAACAGUAUAAGUAAGUUAUCAAGAUAAUACCAAGAAGAUAGGAGCAUACAGCUGUAAUGCAUUAGAAAACAGAAAAAUAAUGGCCAUUACUUUGCAAAAGAUCUUUUAACAUUCUGCAGUAUGCCCCAUUCUAGUUGACACAUGGCCCUCCUUGUGGGCCUGGGACAGACAUUGAGCCCUCUCUGAGGGUACCUGUGCAGGCUCACAAGUGCAUGAGCAUGAUGUGUCACUUGCUAAACCUUCUUAUCAAUCCUAAGACACACCAAAAACCCCAUAUUUAAUAUUACAAACUACUUGAUGACCAAAAAGAGGGUUAAACACGUAGGUGUAGCUAUAGUCUGUAUAUCCUGAUCACUCCUCCUCUCAGACUGAAUCCUCGUAACUCCUCCUCACAAACCAGAUCAGAGGGCAGACAGGCUGUUCUAUCUCUCCACAUUUUCUUCAGCCCAAGUUUAGGUAACAUUAACAAAGAUUUACCUGGGGGUUGUAAAAACCUGUGGGGAUGGGCUCCACUAAACCCCAUGGAAGAGUCAGUGCUGAAGGAUAGGACAGAAAAAUUGAGAUUUGAUAUACGAGCAUGAUUAUGUCUGUGAUAUGUCGUUUUCUGUUCUUUUCUCUAGUACCACAUGUAUUCUGGCAAAUCGUUGGAUUCUGCAGCAGUUUGCUAAUUAUCUGUUGUGUUAUAAACAAUCUUGUUUUGUUGUGCUUUUUUAAAUAUAAUUGAGCUGUUUCUAAUGAUUCACAAUUAAUUACAACAGCUCUAAAUUUUCAAUUUAAAGUAGUUUAAAUUAUUGCCUAGGCUUUGCCCAUAGGCAGAGGCAUGCUAGUAGUACAGUCCUGGUGAAUCAGAUUUAAUAGGCAUUUUGAAACAAGCACAGCUGCAAUUAUGCCCAGAGAAUUUCUGCCAACUUUUUAAUAGUUUAUUUUUUAUUGUAAAAGCAUCUUUUAAGUACCUUUGUUUCUCCCGGGAUGGAAAUUAUUGUUUCAAAGUAUUUCAUGCCAAGUUUUUUACUUAACAUGCUACCUAGGAAUUUAUUUCUUAUUACAGAAAGAUCAUGUUAUAUUUCAAGAAAAUAUAGAGCUAAUACAAGGCAGCAUGCUGGAAAUAGAGGUGUUUAUGUUUGCUGUUAUACAUCCGGUAGUUAUUUUUCUAAUGUUACUCCUGAUAUUUUAAAGUGCUAUGCAAACAUUAAAUGAAUCAUAAAACCUAAGAACUCAUUAUUGCUCUGUCCUUAUUUUAUAAACAGGGAAAAGAGAGCACAGAAGUGCCCUGCCCAUUGCAAUAGGGAAACAAAAUUAGAAUUUCUCUUCCCAUCUCUCAGAUGACUCCUGAAAACGCUUUGUAUUAUGUGUGACCUGGGUAUGAUUUCCAGACCCUACUUUAAGCAAGUAGAUACCUGGAGCAUGACAGAGGACACCGAAGCAACAAAGAUGAUAAAUGUCAAGUAAAAAACCUAAAGUAGAUGUGAAUUCUUUUCCAUGCAGACCAAGUAGGAUGGCAUUUAGUGUACUAAAUUUUAUAGACACAUCUCUAAUGUAAAAAAAUAAAAUUGAAGUACUUAUAGAAUAAUAUGUAUUGUGUGACAUGUUAAUACUGUUAAAGGUUGAGGGUUUUUUAUUUCCUGGUGGUGUGUAUUUCUGUUGGAUUGCUUCAGAGGCGCAAAAUAUAUUUAUUUAGUCAGAAGGACUCCUGCUAAUUGUUCAAUGGCUCUUGCUGUGCUGGAGAGAUUUUGAAUUUAUAUUGUUUCUCUAAAUGCAAAGCACUUCUGAUUCAUUUAACAUUGUUUGGACAGCUGUGAAGAGAAAUAAAAUGGCACAAUAUUGUUUUCCUGUGCUGCUUUUGAAGUGACAUAAUUACUUCAAAUAUUGCCUGAGAUACCCACUGAGACAAUCACAGGACUUAAUUUUAAAUGAAGCAAAAUGUAUCUCAACACUGAAAGCAAAACUGUGCACUGCAAAAUGAUGGAGGAAGUAUUGGAAUAAAGAUCCCUGCUAAGCACUCUGUUAUUUACCUACUUACCAGCCAGAGGUUACAUAUUUUUAGAUAACUGACAAUUUUUAUGUCAGAUAUACUAUACAGUUCCUUAAUUCUGUAACUCUCCUUUACAAAUAACAGCGGAGAUAUUUGUGUGCCAGUGAUAUUGUGAAACAGUGAUUACUGUUUCAAUCUUUCACAGAAGAUGCACUUGUUAUUGUGAACAACAUGCAGUUAUUCCUUCAGAGACAUCAUUUGUAGGUUGAUUGCCUCCUUAACGUCAUGAAGCAGUCUUUUGAUUAAAGAGAGAAAUGAGAAAUUUUAUGCUACUUCCUAAUUUUAAACUUCUCAGUGUAAAAGUGUGUCUUAGCAUUAUUCUUCAUUCAGAACAACUGCUAAUCUCCCCAAACAUAAUCUUCACCUCUGAGGCUGAUCCCCCAGCUCACUUGUCCAGAGGCAAACCUUGUUCUUUCCUUUAUCCAUGCUAGGCUGCAUAAUACCAAGUCCAUCCUUCACUGCUUCUUUCUUCCUCAUACAAAUGCUCUGGUCCCAUUUGCUUUACGAAAACAAAAGCAAAAUCUGUGUGCCUGGACCAGACUGUAAAAGGGUAUUUUGCCACCUAGCAUCAUGGAAGGAGCUGUUCAGUUCACAAAAUUGUUAGGUCCAAGGCAGAGGCUGGGUUCCCAGCCCAAGGCAGGAGGAGAAAAAAGAUGCUCAUGCUGUAUGAAUUAGUUUGGGACCCAUAGCAUGGCUAAAAGUGAGCUCUGGUAAGCUUUGUAUUGGAACUAGCAGUGCCCUUGUAAAGGAGGAACAGCACAGAAUGCUCUCUGAACAAAUGCACCAGCAUAAAUGCAAAGUCUUGGUGAUGAAAUACUGUAAAGCAGCUUUACAUCUUGCAUGUCCUUUACACUUGAGCUUGCCUUGUCUUUUAAGGGUCCCCUGGCAACAUUCAGAGCUUUCUGGUGAGAAAAAGGCUCAGGGCCCAGGAGGCAACUUUGUCAUUUUCAUAGAAAUAAUGGGAGGAAACGAAAACAGAAUCUACGUCAUACCUUCUGGAGUUGUUAUGCUGAGGAAAAAAUCUUGAGGAGCAUUUUGAUUAUUUCUAAUUUAGCAGCUCUAAAGCAAACUAAAGAUUUUGUAUUCACAGCAUGGGAUGAAUGUAUCCAUUUUCCAUAAUAUCCUGUCACAAAGCAGGCAAAAGCAGAUACUUAGAAGAUGAGAAAAAGAAAAGGUCAAAAAUAUAAUGAUGUUUCCUUAGACUAUUUUUCUGGUUCUGGAUAUUCCUUGAGUCCGAAAUGUUGUUUUUUUAAUUAACAGCCCUAAUUGCUUUUGAUGUUUUUUUUUUUCUUCUUUUGAAUUCAUGUAGAUGUUUUGCAUUUGAAAAAUACCUGUAUUUACCUGCAUAAUGUGAAAAAUAAAAUUC